Molecule: ribosomal RNA, 509 nt
Filed under: Herophydrus musicus
Lineage: Eukaryota; Metazoa; Arthropoda; Insecta; Coleoptera; Dytiscidae
Description: partial 16S ribosomal RNA
Rfam family: Bacterial large subunit ribosomal RNA
Source: RNAcentral
GUCCUUUAGAUAAGAGUAUUUAAGGUCUAACCUGCCCAUUGAUUUGAAUUUUAACGGCCGCAGUAUUUUGACUGUGCAAAGGUAGCAAAAUCAUUAGUUUUUUAAUUGAAAGCUUGUAUGAAUGGUUGGACGAGAUAAAAACUGUCUCUAUUUAAUAAUUAGAAUUUAAUUUUUAAGUUAAAAAGCUUAAAUUAUGAUAAAAGACGAGAAGACCCUAUAGAUCUUUAUAUAUACGUUUUUAAUAUUAUUGAUGAUUAUUUUUUUAGUUAGAGAUUAAUAUAUUUUAUUGGGGUAAUAAAAAGAUUAAAUUAAUUCUUUUGUAUUAAACAUAAAUUUAUGAAUAUUUGAUCCAUUAAUAGUGAUUAUAAGAUUAAGUUACCUUAGGGAUAACAGCGUAAUUUUUUUAGAGAGUUCAUAUCGAUAAAAAAGUUUGCGACCUCGAUGUUGGAUUAAAAGUUAUUUUAGGCGUAGAAGUUUAAAAUUUUGGUCUGUUCGACCAUUGAAUUUUU